RNAcentral lists this ribosomal RNA (603 nucleotides) under Pelosinus sp. 790. RNAcentral describes it as "bacterial SSU rRNA". It matches the Rfam family "Bacterial small subunit ribosomal RNA", at positions 134 to 714 of the family's 1533-position model. The record is from RNAcentral. Lineage: Bacteria; Bacillati; Bacillota; Negativicutes; Selenomonadales; Sporomusaceae.
AAAGUGGGGACAACACUGCGAAAGUGGUGCUAAUACCGAAUGUUGUAUUUUGAAUGCAUAUUUGAAAUACUAAAGGUGGCCUCUAUUUAUAAGCUAUCACUAGAAGAUGGGUCUGCGUCUGAUUAGCUAGUUGGUGAGGUAACGGCUCACCAAGGCGACGAUCAGUAGCCGGUCUGAGAGGAUGAACGGCCACACUGGGACUGAGACACGGCCCAGACUCCUACGGGAGGCAGCAGUGGGGAAUCUUCCGCAAUGGACGAAAGUCUGACGGAGCAACGCCGCGUGAGUGAAGAAGGUUUUCGGAUCGUAAAACUCUGUUUUCAGGGACGAAUGUGUGGAUUGUAAAUAAUGAUCCAUAAUGACGGUACCUGACAAGAAAGCCACGGCUAACUACGUGCCAGCAGCCGCGGUAAUACGUAGGUGGCAAGCGUUGUCCGGAAUUAUUGGGCGUAAAGCGCGCGCAGGUGGGAUAAUCAGUCUGAUGUUAAAGUUCGGGGCUUAACCCCGUGAAGCAUUGGAUACUGUUAUUCUUGAGUGCAGGAGAGGAAAGUGGAAUUCCUAGUGUAGCGGUGAAAUGCGUAGAUAUUAGGAGGAACACCAGUG